This 175-nucleotide antisense RNA is filed under the name Roseofilum reptotaenium AO1-A. RNAcentral's name for it is "Antisense RNA which regulates isiA expression". It matches the Rfam family "Antisense RNA which regulates isiA expression". The record is from Rfam by way of RNAcentral. Lineage: Bacteria; Bacillati; Cyanobacteriota; Cyanophyceae; Desertifilales; Desertifilaceae.
GAUAACCAAAGAUUUGUCCAGGAUCGAGAUUGGGUUGCACCAAGCGGACUUGUUCAAUGAGGGGAUCGUAGAUGCCCCCAAAGCGAGUGGCUUUCAUCACCAGCAGUGCCGCUCCCAUUCCCAGUAAUACGAGAUGAAUGCCGAGAAUCGUGGUCAUUUUGUUGCCAUCUUUCCA